This 347-nucleotide ribosomal RNA is filed under the name uncultured bacterium. RNAcentral describes it as "partial 16S ribosomal RNA". It matches the Rfam family "Bacterial small subunit ribosomal RNA", at positions 338 to 682 of the family's 1533-position model. The record is from RNAcentral.
CCUACGGGUGGCAGCAGUGAGGAAUAUUGGUCAAUGGGCGGGAGCCUGAACCAGCCAAGUCGCGUGAGGGAAGACGGUCCUAUGGAUUGUAAACCUCUUUAGGCGGGGAGCAAUGCCGGGCACGCGUGCCCGGAGGGAGAGGACCCGCAGAAGAAGCAUCGGCUAACUCGGUGCCAGCAGCCGCGGUCAUACGGUGGAUGCGCGCGUGAUCGGGAUUUCUUGGGUUUAAAGGGUGCGUAGGCGGAUUUUUAAGUCAGCGGUAAAAUGUCCGGGCUCAACCCGGGCCGGCCGUUGAAACUGGGGAUCUUGAGUGGGCGAGCAGUAUGCGGAAUGCGUGGUGUAGCGGU